UUUGAUUUUCUUUCCAUAAAAUCAAGAUGAUCAAACCAAUGAACAAGGUGAAAGAUUUUACCAACACAUCUGAGACAGAAAGAAGAUAUCAAAGCUUCAAACUCGAUUAACUGAUGUUGAGCAUAUAAAGAAAUGUGUUUAAUGAAUGUUUGAAUGCAGAUCACCUAAGAACGGGUUAAGGAAUCGUUCACAAAUUUUGGAGAAGUCAUUUGAUUUUCUUUCCAUAAAAUCAAGAUGAUCAAACCAAUGAACAAGGUGAAAGAUUUUACCAACACAUCUGAGACAGAAAGAAGAUAUCAAAGCUUCAAACUCGAUUAACUGAUGUUGAGCAUAUAAAGAAAUGUGUUUAAUGAA
This is a long non-coding RNA of Aethina tumida (small hive beetle), 354 nucleotides long. RefSeq lists it as uncharacterized. Lineage: Eukaryota; Metazoa; Arthropoda; Insecta; Coleoptera; Nitidulidae. The record is from RefSeq and is a predicted model, not a curated record. The transcript is spliced from 3 exons.